AUCCAUAUAUAUGUGGAGAGAGAGAGAGAGAGAGAGGAAAAACUGUCCAAAUUUCCAUUGCAGGAUCAGCUAUUGAUCAUUUAAUCUAUUUUUGAGAGAGAUGAGUGGUUUGCCAAGGUCAGAAAUAUCCUUUAGAAGACAAGGUUCUUCAGGGUUGGUAUGGGAUGACAAGUUAAAUUUGGAGGUGAAGAAGAAACACGAUCGAGAACCCGCGGUCGAACGGAGCCCAAGGGAAUAUGUAUAUCGAUCCAGGACAGUUACACCAGCAGCCGAACCGCCAUCUCCCAAGGUCUUCGGUUGCUGUGGCAUAUUUGGGAAGCCUCCCCAUCGUGAGUUAUAGUUGCUCUGCAUGCUGUUUAUGUUGUGUAUGAAAUAUCACAUUUUAGUUGAUGAAAAAGCUUUUAAUAAUAGUUACGUGUUGAAUAUGAAAAGUUCAAUUGCAUUUAGUUUCACACACUUGCACACAAUUCUCCUAAUUUCCAGGCUCGACUCUUUCUUUUUUUGGUUGAUGGAUUUUGAUGUGUAUAGCAAGAAGAACAUAUGUAAAGAAUCGAGCACGUAUUCAAGCCGUUAACUACGUAACAUAUGUACUGUUUGUUUUGGGAGGGUUUGCGCACAUUUUACCCUCCCGACGACUUUUUGUUGCUUCUUCAUAUCUCUAACAUUUACCUUUUAAGAGAUUUAAGUUGAAUUUUGGUAAUUAUUGAAUAAGCUGUCGUGAAAGGUAAGAUAGAGUCAGAUUCUCUCAAAGUGGACUAUAUGCGUGAGUUAAUGACUCGAACACAAAUUCGAAUAGUUACAAAAUAAAUAUCUACAACAUACAUGGUGCUACUGAAAUUUGCCUGAUAAAUAUUUCAUAUAUUGCUACCAAGACAGGAAAAUUGCAUUUUUUUGUCACAACCUAUUGACUGAGAAGCAGGUUGGUCCCCCGAGCUUAAGAUAAUGGGCAAACUCGUUACAUCCUUUUACCUAUCAAAACAUAUAGGUGGGCGCUGCAACUCUCAGUGUACAAAUUGACGUUCGAUUCACUAUUGAAAAGGCAAAAUAGAUAAAACAUUAAAUAAAUAAAAGAAGAAUUAAAAAACAAAAAGUGAAACAAGACAGGUAAUCCGUAUAUUCAUAGGCAAGUCUCUUUCAUCGAACCUUUCUUUGAGACUAUCCAUAUCGUUACGCCUUCUGUGCGAGUCGGAACUUAUCUGAUAAGGCAAUCAGUUCUUCUAUCAUUAGGUCACUAACUUCCUUGAUCUUUCAACAUUGGACAGACGUCGACCCCCAUGCAUGAUCUUAAGACUUUGUGCAGACCUAUUUUUAUGGUAAACAGUCGACUCUGCAACCCCCCACCCUCAACAAAAUACAGCAUUUCUUUCAAUUUUCCACCUAAAACGCCAUCCUUCCAUGGUAUAGGCUAAUCAUGGUCAUGUUGAAGAUUAACUUACUAAUACUUCAACUAGUGAUUCCUAAAAACAACAAAACAAUUAGUGGUCGUCCAUUAUUUCCCGCAACUUUUGACUAAAAUUGUAGAAUUCAUGAAAUUAAUUAUUAGAUUAGAAGCAAUCCACUUAAGAUAUAUGGAUAAGAGAUUGAAUAGUUUUCAAUAAAAGAAAUGGUCGUUUUCAAUGUGACCGAUCAUUCAACAAUUAAACAACAUUUAGCCAUCUAACCUCAUCUUGAUGUUUGACUAAAUUUAUAACUUAUUUUUAAGUAAAUUUUUGUUUGAAUACAUUAUUUUUUUCUCAAGUAAAAAGAGUUAAAGUAAUUUGUUUUCCAACUUAGAUCAACAAAAAUAAUACAUUUCUAACACUUAUUUAAUCAUAAGUAAGUUUUUUUAAAGCUUGGCCAAACAUCUUCUUACAAAUAUUAUAUUAAGAUGAUUAAAUAAAAUGCAUUUCUUGUUAUGAAUUGUCUGUUCAAAGGACGAAAGGAUAGACUAUGAACUUUUUUCUUCCAUUCAACGUUCAAAAAUUCUAACUAAUUAUUACACAUCAUCGAGUAGUAUUUUUGCAUGAUCAAUGGUUAUCUUCUAUAAUUGAAGAAAAUAGGUGGGAGAAUUGUAUUGAUCCUCAUGUAGGUUCAGCACAAUCUGAUUGAGAUUAAAAUUAAACGGAGUCAACUCAAUAUUUUUAAGUUAUGCAAUUGCAUAAAACCCCUUAAAUAGAUUGGCUUCCAAAUUUUAAAACUAUCAUUAUUUGUGAUUAGUAAUACUAAAAAUAUAAAUAGUCCAAUAAACUCAACAUAAUCUUUUCAUUAAAUACAAACUAACAAAAAUGUUUAAAUUAAGUGUUAAUGGAAAAUUUCGUUCAAAUUAAAAUAAAAUAAAAAAAUAGCUCAUUCGUAUAUAAUAUUAUAAAGAAAAUGGAAAAAAGGGCAAAUUUUGACCAAUUCCAAUUCUCUUUUCCCCUUAUUCACUGUACAAAUCACUGUUCAUUUCCCUUAUUUUCCAGGUCUUAUAUAUUCUUCUCUCUCUUCCAUAUAUCUUAGAUUAUUUUUAGCAUGAAUACGGGGAGUAAUGUCUGUAGAUGCGGUGACCCUAUGCAGAUGAAGACAUCAUGGACGAACUUAAUUCUAGGAAGAAGAUUUCUCACUUGUCCACGACGUCAGGAUGUCGAUGGAUGUAACUUUUUAGACUAGCACGACCCUCCAAUGUGUGAUAGAUCGAGGAAGAUAAUCUCUAGAUUUCUAUGUGUCAGAAGAGAUGAAAGUUGAACUAAACACCUUACAUACAAGGACCCGUAGUUUAUGGAAGACUUGGAUAUUAGGAUUUACAUGUGGAGUUUUUGUGAAAUGUGUCUGUGCUUAGAUCUGUGUUAGGUUUCAGCUCAUAUGUUGUGUUUGCGUUUUGAAAUGUAGGUUUAUGAGUUCGAAAUCGAGUGUUGUCUAUGGUUUUGUAACUUAUUUUCCAUUAAAUAAGAUAUUAAGAUAUGUCAUCAUUCAACAGUGUUGCCCUAAUUAUCAUUUCUCACAGUUUCCCCCUCUCCCUGUGAGCAAAUGCUUCAAAAGGAAGGGAAAAAUAUGUUUGAAAACCAAUCAUAGAUAGUGCAUUGUAGGUCUCAAACAUUUUCAAUUAGUCGUACACAAACCUUUUACUAUGUCGCAACGUAGGUUCCAAAUAUUUGUAUUUGAAUGCAUGAAAAGUCCCAAACCUUUUAAAUGAGUUGCAGAGUAGAUUUUAGACCUUUUAAGGAGUUGAAGCUUAUGUCUCAAUUUGUACAAAGGCCACUUUUUCCCUUGCCCUGUGAUUGAGUUGGUUGUGUAUCCUAUUGUGUAUCUGCUUUAGAACAUGUUAUCUUGUUAUGGCAUGUCCCACCACGUGUUUUACAUGUCAUCAUCAUUCUAGUCCUUGUCAUUUUGGUGCCUGUAGGUGGCUGUACUAGCGAUUUUUUCUCAACUUCUUUGGUCUCCCUACUUGUUUCUUCUUCAUAGGUGGAUUCAAAGAAUGUUUUCCCAGCUCUAAUCACAACUCAAGGACCUGACAUUGGUUGGAUGAUUGGGCUAUAGGACCUCAAGUAAGCUUCUUUGAUGUAGCAUUCAUCUACAUACUCAUAUAUACUGAUAUGUCUCAAUGGCAUACCAGACAAUACAUGCACACAAGGUAUUCCAGUAAGUUGCUAUUUUCUACAUGCACAUUUACGCUUCAUCAAGUCCAAACUCCAUCUCUUUUCCAUCCGUAUUUCUCACAUCAAAAUUUCACUUCCAGCAUAGUUAGCCUUCAAAAACCUUGCAUCUACCUUUGUUUUCUCUAUAACUCUCAUAACUUCAGGACCUAAAGCAUGAUUACAUCUUCAUGUAGCUUCCGUUUUAGCAUUCAUCCUUUCCAUUUGUUGACGUCUUAGCUUCUUAAGCAUUGAGAUAAUAGACUUUUCUCUUGCAAUUAAUAUGAAAGAGUUGAAUGUCUCACACAAGUUAUUAAGUAGGAUGUCGCACUUUAAAUAAUCUUGGAAAUGUGAUCUACUCUACGGUGAUGCUGGUUUCUCAGUGAACCACUUAAACGCUGUUUCGUUCAUAUCUUUUAUCUCAUUCAUUGCACUUCUCCACUCUAGCACUAGUUUACCCUUGUUGCAGCCCAAAAAUAUGCUCUUUAGAGUCAGUCCCUUAUGCACUAAGGUGAAAUUGCUGGAUAAAUAUCUUGCACAAUACCUAUACUCAGCACCCUUACAUAACAAAUCUAUGGAGUCCAUCAAGCCCUUCAGUUUAUCAGAAAUAAGGUCCAAGUCCUAGCAUUAUACAUCCCAAUAUCAGCUGUCAAAAGUUCUAAUAACCAUUCCCAAUUUCUUUUGUUCUCCACAUCUACCACAUCCCCAGCUAUAGGAAACAUGUAGUUAUCUACAUCAAUGCCAAUUGCAGCCAACAACUACCCACAUUGUGCACUCUUUAGGAAAUAUCCAUCCAAACCAAUUGCAUUCCUACACCCAACUCUAAGAACUUCUUUGCAAGCCCCUAAACAUAUGUAUAGUCUUUUGAAUGUAUGACCCUGCCCAUUGUACUAUCAGGAUUAGUUCUUUUCAACUUCUUACCAUAGUCCCAUAGAAUCUUGUACUAUUUAGCUACAUUUUCAUUAACAACGUCUGCACAUUUAACUCUUAUUCUAUAAAAUUGAUGCUUAGAGAUCUCAUAUAUGCACUCCUCAUUCAUUUUUUCUAUAAAACUAUUCAUAGACAUUUUUGGAUUUGAUUUGACUUCCUUAUAUACUUGUUUGCCAAGUAACCAAUAUGCACUCUUCUAUUUUUUCAAACCAUUGUGCAUGUAUGUUCAACUCUAAAUGUGUUAAUCCUGAAAUUUUUGUCUGGUUGCUAGUAAGCAUACAACUUUUAUGGACAAUUCUCUUGACAUAUGACUCUUACUCUUACUCUUGUUCCUUCAUUCUUUAAAUAUCUAACUUGCCUUGCAUUCUUAACCGAAUACUGCAAACUACAUCUUUCUACAUGUUUAUGUUGUCUAACGUCAUGCCUACAGGAUUAUAUAAAAGAAAAUUACGAUAUUGAACUUUUUAUUUUAAAUGUCCUAGUAGCAUUGGGUUAGACUUUAAUAAUUUAAGGAAUAUAUUUAUUCACCUGUGAUUGAUUUGCAUGUCCUCUCUUACUUAUGUAAGAUUUUGAGACUUGCUUACAGGAGAUUAGUGGCACUUUCCGCACACGGGUUGUUUAUAUAAUUUACUCUAUAUAGAUUAUAGAUUAAAAUUGAGCUAUGAGGGAAAAGUUCAUAGUUUUUCUAUUAUGCUUGUAUAAGUAAGCAAAUAUCUGUUGAUGUGAUUUGAGCUUUACUUGAUGUUAUAUUUAAAAAUCCAUGAAAAAGAGUUAUCUUAAUAAAAAAUAAAAAUUUUCCCAACACAUGGUUUGCAUAAUUUUGCAUAGUUUGUCCAUGUGUAUAUUUUUUCACUCGUUCCUCUUUGCAUUAUUCACAAUUAUAUUGCUUAAUUUUUCUUUAUAAUUCGUGAUAAAAAUGAGGAGGGAAGUAUUUAUUUCGGGGGAGUUGAGUAAUAUAUGAGUUAGGAGGAGAAGUCGAUACAUUGUUGAGCUUGCUUUUAAUAUUUGACUUAAGGAGAGUCAUGGAUAUUUUUUAUGAUUGAUGAUUAUUUUUUUAUAUUUGUCUUAGUGGGAGUUGUAGAUAUUUUUUAUGAUUGAUGAUUAUACAACCAACAACCCUGGGCAGAACCCAGCAUUAGGGGGCCCAUGCCUCUGGCAUAGGUAGUUCCUUCGAAGCCAAACGUUAGGUUGGGUCUUCUUUUAUGAAACCUCCUAAAAAGCGCGGAUGGAAAAAGUUUGUUCGAGCAUCAAGUACAACUUGAAGAACAUUUGAUGAAAAACCUUUUAACGUGGGGAAAAGGCCAUAAAGAUCACUAAGUACUUGAUGGGACUUAAUGAUUGUGAAAGUUUCAUUGAAAAAGCUCAAAGAGCAUCGGCAUCAACAGUUGCAGUUGCCCAAUAGGAGGCUAGCCAUGUCAUCAAGGAAUGAACCCCAAACACAAGAGUGAAAGAGGGAAGAAGGUAGGUUGGAAGAGAGCAACAGAAAUUAGGAAAGCGCAGGUCAGGGACAAUACAUCAACGAAGCUCUCAAAUUACCUUUGCCUAUUCUCUUUUUAGGAUGCAUAAUUUUUUGGACUAUCUACUGGAAAUUUGAAAAUCCAUGAUCAAGAUACAGUUACAACGAGUAAGCGAAGGAAUUAUAAUGUUUCUGACACUUGUACCCUUUUUUAACUUAAGGGAAGUCAUAGAUAUUUUUUAAGAUUGAUGAUCUUACUAGCAUAAUGUGUUAUUUUGCUUAUUGAUAUUAAGUUUUUAUUUUUUUGGAAUAAUAUUGACAUCAUAAUUUGUAUUGCUAGUUCAGCUAUUGUGAUGAUAUAUCUCAACUUGUCAUGUUUAAUUUUUAAGUUAUUGAUACACGUAGUAUUAUAUGCUUUAGUAUUACACACAUUUUGCUUGCAUAGUUUAUAUAACUUAGUUAUGUGCUUCGUUGUUAGUUUCCUCUUACUUUUACACAUGGUAUUAUUAAUUUCAUGUGUUUCAGAAAACAUGUAUUACAAGCUAAUGAGUUAAGUUUGAG
RNAcentral lists this long non-coding RNA (6537 nucleotides) under Olea europaea subsp. europaea. The record is from RNAcentral. Lineage: Eukaryota; Viridiplantae; Streptophyta; Magnoliopsida; Lamiales; Oleaceae.